RNAcentral lists this ribosomal RNA (485 nucleotides) under uncultured bacterium. RNAcentral describes it as "partial 16S ribosomal RNA". It matches the Rfam family "Bacterial small subunit ribosomal RNA", at positions 899 to 1397 of the family's 1533-position model. The record is from RNAcentral.
ACUCAAAUGAAUUGACGGGGGCCCGCACAAGCAGCGGAGCGUGUGGUUUAAUUCGAUGCAACGCGCAGAACCUUACCCAGGCUUGACAUGCGUGUGGUACCAAGGGGAAACCCGAGGGACCCGCAAGGGAGCACGCACAGGUGCUGCAUGGCUGUCGUCAGCUCGUGCCGUGAGGUGUUGGGUUAAGUCCCGCAACGAGCGCAACCCCCGCGAGCAGUUACUAGGUCUGCUCGGACCGCCGGGACCAACCCGGAGGAAGGUGGGGAUGACGUCAAGUCAGCAUGGCCCUGACGUCUGGGGCGACACACACGCUACAAUGGCCGGGACAAUGGGUUGCAACGGCGCGAGCCUGAGCCAAUCCCACCAAACCCGGUCUCAGUUCGGAUCGGAGGCUGCAACUCGCCUCCGUGAAGUCGGAGUUGCUAGUAACCGCAGGUCAGCACACUGCGGUGAAUACGUUCCCGGGCCUUGUACACACCGCCCGU